This 447-nucleotide ribosomal RNA is filed under the name uncultured bacterium. Its description in RNAcentral is "partial 16S ribosomal RNA". It matches the Rfam family "Bacterial small subunit ribosomal RNA", at positions 29 to 523 of the family's 1533-position model. The record is from RNAcentral.
AGCGAACGCUGGCGGCAGGCCUAACACAUGCAAGUCGAGCGCCCAGCAAUGGGAGCGGCAGACGGGUGAGUAACACGUGGGGAUCUACCCAAUGGUGCGGAAUAACCCAGGGAAACUUGGACUAAUACCGCAUGUGCCCUUCGGGGGAAAGAUUUAUCGCCAUUGGAUGAACCCGCGUCGGAUUAGCUAGUUGGUGAGGUAAAGGCUCACCAAGGCGACGAUCCGUAGCUGGUCUGAGAGGAUGAUCAGCCACACUGGGACUGAGACACGGCCCAGACUCCUACGGGAGGCAGCAGUGGGGAAUAUUGGACAAUGGGCGCAAGCCUGAUCCAGCCAUGCCGCGUGAGUGAUGAAGGCCUUAGGGUUGUAAAGCUCUUUCGCCGGUGAAGAUAAUGACGGUAACCGGAGAAGAAGCCCCGGCUAACUUCGUGCCAGCCGCCGCCGUAA